Molecule: ribosomal RNA, 450 nt
Filed under: uncultured bacterium
Lineage: Bacteria
Description: partial 16S ribosomal RNA
Rfam family: Bacterial small subunit ribosomal RNA
Source: RNAcentral
GUAGGGAAUCUUCGGCAAUGGACGAAAGUCUGACCGAGCAACGCCGCGUGAGUGAAGAAGGUUUUCGGAUCGUAAAACUCUGUUGGUAGAGAAGAACGUUGGUGAGAGUGGAAAGCUCAUCAAGUGACGGUAACUACCCAGAAAGGGACGGCUAACUACGUGCCAGCAGCCGCGGUAAUACGUAGGUCCCGAGCGUUGUCCGGAUUUAUUGGGCGUAAAGCGAGCGCAGGUGGUUUAUUAAGUCUGGUGUAAAAGGCAGUGGCUCAACCAUUGUAUGCAUUGGAAACUGGUAGACUUGAGUGCAGGAGAGGAGAGUGGAAUUCCAUGUGUAGCGGUGAAAUGCGUAGAUAUAUGGAGGAACACCGGUGGCGAAAGCGGCUCUCUGGCCUGUAACUGACACUGAGGCUCGAGAGCGUGGGGAGCAAACAGGAUUAGAUACCCCAGUAGUCC